GAAGGGGAUUUGUCUCUCGUUUAUGGAGGUUGGUUCAACAGCUUUUAACUUUUUACUUCCCCAUUUCAAUGACCAUCUAAUUUCGGUUACUUUUAUUUUUGGAGUAGCCAUCCGUCUACGUUUUGAUCUCAAUUAAUAAUGUAGUAGUGCAUGCUCGUUAUUGAUAACUGACAUAAUAAUAAAUAAAGUCAACAACACUUGACAUGCGAUAAGAUUUUUAUUGGUGGCAGGUCACUUGUAAAGACCGGAUGAUUUAGAUGAUAAGUACAACUAGUGGACCCCCAGGCCCACGGCCGCCUUUGAUUAAAAAGCAAAAGAUGCAAAUGCCAAAUAGAAAAGCCUUAAUUGGCUGAAUGACCUCAGGGUUUAGGAAUUAUGGCAUGACUUGAUGAGCAUGAUGACAUUUUU
RNAcentral lists this long non-coding RNA (408 nucleotides) under Citrus maxima (pomelo). RNAcentral's name for it is "long non-coding RNA (CMAX_LNC003201)". Lineage: Eukaryota; Viridiplantae; Streptophyta; Magnoliopsida; Sapindales; Rutaceae. The record is from RNAcentral.